Long non-coding RNA from Papaver somniferum (opium poppy), 3032 nucleotides. RefSeq lists it as uncharacterized. The transcript has 4 exons. NCBI's taxonomy places the organism in Eukaryota, Viridiplantae, Streptophyta, Magnoliopsida, Ranunculales, Papaveraceae. The record is from RefSeq and is a predicted model, not a curated record.
UGUUACGCUUCUAAUAAUCCCAUUUAAUGGUAUUAAUAGCACUGUUAUUUCCCCGCUCAUAAACUCAUCUGUUACCCUUGAAUUCACACCUAUACGGUUUUUCUUCUUAUGGAAUCAAACCCAGAAGAAUAACCAAGAUCAGAGUUUGAAGACAGAUUUCCUCAAUUCUUUACGGGCUUCAAUUUAGGAAACUUCUCUGCAACAUGGGAUAAUCAACCAAAAUCCAGCUCAUCAAUUUCAUGUACUGAUUCCAUUUUUAUAUACUGAUUCCAAUUUCGAUCCAGAGAAAUACUGUGGCCGAGCAUUUCGUCUUCUGCAUUUUUGUUAGGUUUAGAAAGAGGAAUUGUGGAUGUUUUGUCUCUUCGCUGUUAGUAGUAUGAUAUAAUUGGUGCGGUCUCGCAUAUGAAAUGUUCUUUCAGACUUCUCUGUCUCGUUGGGGUUAUCAGAAAAGUAACCCGGUAGAAUUAAGGGCGUAUUGUUGCAUAUGGUCCUCAACCGUGCCAAUAAUGUGAAAUCUGGGUUAAAAAGUGUGUUUAUGGUCUUCACAAUUGUUGCAGCUGAUGAACACGAGAUAUAAUUUUAUUGGCUUACAAAAGUUGGAGAAAUCAGUUUGAGGUCACUGAGAAAUCAGUUUGAGGUCACUGAGAUUUACGAGACAUUCGUUAAAUUGUCUGUUGUAUAUUUAUACAAAUUUUGCUCAUUCACUAGACAGAGAAUCACUACUUCUGUUCCAUGUAUUCAGAAAAUAGUACACUCAUUUUGGCACAUGUUAUUCAUUCCAGGCAUUCUAGAAAGCAUGACUAAUAGUACACUCAAUCUCCUAUAUUUGUAUUACUAUGUCCAUUAAAUUCGUUUGAAAAUUGAUUGAGGCAUACAUGUUUGUUUGAAAAUUUUACUUUUGUGGUAACUGAUAAAAGCAGCCCUUCUUAAAAAAAUGUAAUAUUCGGUAGUCUCGCCUUGAGCUUAUUCAUGUGUAGAUAAGGUUACUCAUUUCUUUUAUUAUCAUGAGAACUAAUUUCGACAAUUCUUAAACUCAAAAAAUCUAUAAAUUACUCUUGAAAUUUGGCUGUUUAUGAUAGUUUUGGUUGAACUGAUUAUUUUCUUUCUAUGUUUGCUAGGAUAUAAUGUCCAAAAACUGGUGGUGCGCACAAUUAAGACAGUAAAGUUCUAAUUUGCAACCUUGGACCUACUUCAUUUGCAACUUUGGACCUGCUUCAUUAGAAUUGCAUAUCUAAUGGGGUUUAUUUUAUUGUUUACUGAAAGAUAGUGUACGAUAGCAGUGUUUGAAGGAGAUGGUCAAACUUAACACCUACAUGAAUGAUUGUAUUUGUACGACAAACCUCAAAACCAACAGCUGCAAAAUGUUGAAGAAAGAGGUAGAGGAGAAACAUCGAGAAAAAACACCUAUAAUCGAGCAUUAGUUUUGCUUACCAGGUUUUAUUUUUCUCGGAGCUUUUUCAUAUUCAUCUAUUGCGGUUAGAAUUUUAAAAUGUAGGAAAUGAUUUUGGGCACUUAGAUUUUUAAUCUCGAAUUUGAUCUAGCUAUUUCGCAGUAUCUUUAGAGGAAGUAUACGACGGAUCAGACGGAAAUAUGAUAAUAGUAGUUGAAGAAUCUUAUGAAAUCACUCUUGAAGCCAUGGCACAAAUGGAUAUCAACUUCUGCAUACCUACCAAGUAAGGAUAAAUAAACGACAAUUGAACUUUGAACUGUAUAUAAGAUAUAUAUAUAUAUCUGCUCUAAUUCCUUUAACAAGCUUGCUCUGCACUUCAUCUUCCCAUCCAUAUGCACACGACACGCAUGGAAUAUUGGAAUAUCGGAAACACCUGUGGUUGUUAUGAUCUCAUCGUCCUAUGUAAAAAACAAUUAGGUAAAUAAUCGAGACUACUAUUUCUUUGCACUCCAAUUAAAAUGCUAAAAUUUAACAACUGUUGUUAUAUGUUCAUGUGUCCCCCUAUAUAUUUCUGCACAUGGGAGUAAAUUUAACCAUCCUGCGUCACUACAGCCUAGGUGAGUCUUUAUUUCUCCUAUGGUUUGGAGAUUAAGAAAGAGCUACUUAUAUUUUACCACCAAUUGCCACCAACAAUUCUAUGCUUCAUUAAUGACUACCUCACACAAGCGAGUCUUUGUUUCUCCAUUCUCAAAUUUUUCUUCGGCGAUUUUACAACAUUGAAAAUUUUCCACUCCACCAAGUUGCACUGAUUCCUUACAUUUUCCUUUAGGUAUUGCCUCCCAGCUAUUUGUAGCCUUAUUUUGAUCUCCAUUUGUUAAACUCUCUCCAAUUUUUAGGGAAAUCUUGAGUUUUUUAUGGAUACAUGAUUUGGGUUACAAGACAUCGUUGGAUAUUUACUGUGCUUCUUGAAGUUUUCUGUUCGUGAGAUAAUAAUUACAAAUGUGUAACAAACAUUUGUUGUGUUAGCAACUAGGACCCUUUGUUUGCUUAAGCAAUUAACUGACUGGAAUUAUUUUAAUUUUCAAUUCAUUUGUUUCAAUAUCUAAAAUAUUAAUUGAGCAUGUAAGGGAUUCGUUUGCUUGGAGAAAAGUUUUUUUUUGCCAAACUUUGUAACUCAAAGUCGCAGGUUGUUUCCGUCGAAUUUAUUCGAGUUUGAUAAAGGUUCUUAACAGAAGUGACCGUUUGUACACCAAUUAUUCAUCUUAUUUUUAUAUAAGAUUUGCUAAUAUACUGCAUUGCGGAAUUUCAGAAAUCAUUAGUUAAUUGCAGAAACUUAUCAACGGCUUCCACUACUUGACUUGAAACACGUUAAACAGAAAGUCAGUCGCAGGACACCGUGCUGCAAUUGAUAGUUGAAUGAUGAUAAACUCUUCUUGUGUCAUGGAUUUCAGCCUUCAGUAAAGACUUGAAGAAUAGCCUAGAGGUAUUCAUCAACUCUUUGGAUUCAAUUUUGAACUUUUUAACAUAUAUAUUUGGAAUUUGUGAAGUUCUAUUUUUGGAAAGUCUGAUAGUUCCUUCAUUUUUGGAUGUAUUUCAUCUUAUAUUUAUAAUCUUAUAUUUAUCUAAGCGAAAACAUCUUAUU